Molecule: long non-coding RNA, 826 nt
Organism: Marmota monax (woodchuck)
Lineage: Eukaryota; Metazoa; Chordata; Mammalia; Rodentia; Sciuridae
Exons: 2
Source: RefSeq, a predicted model, not a curated record
GUGUCCAGGCGGCUAAGCACCCAUCUGAGGGGCUGGAAUUGGGACAAAGCAGCAGGCCAGGCCAGGAGAGGGCGGCCUGUUAGGGGAAAAGGGCAGGGGAGGGGCUCAGCCCUCGCACUGCCUCUCCCCAGGGCCUCUGCUCUCCAGGGGCCCCUGGAGCUGGGGACAUCCUGUAAAUAGAAAGCAAAGCAAGGAGAAGGAGUGCCUGCGAGUGCUGUGCAUGUGCGUACCUAUACAUCCAUAUCUCAUCAAAAACAUGCACACCCUGGGGACUCGGUGCAGGAAGCUGGCCAGGGUGUGGAAGGUGGAUCAAGAUUUAGAGGAGGCAAAUUCUGCCCUGCUCAGAGAAGUGGUUGGGAAACCCAGAGUAAACUGUAAGAAACCAACAUCAUAAAUGCAAGAAAGAUUACAAGUUGAUGAUUUUGAAAACAAAGAAGACUUGCUCACAUAAAUAGGCAUUUUCCCUCAGUCGUCAUGUGGAUGGAGGAGGGGAAGCCAAAGAGCUGCCAUUCUCCCAAAUGAUGCAUCUUGAGAAUGUGUCUCUGAACAUGGAGCAAGUGAGGCUGCUGCUCUGAAUUUCCAAGACGAGGCAAGUGUAUCAUCCAGAGCGAUCUGGUGAAUGCAAGAGUCCAGUCAGCAACAAAAACAAACCUGUAAAACUGUAGAGCCCGGCGCAGGGGCACACAUCUGUAAUCCCAGUGGCUCAGGAGGCGGAGGCAAGAGGAUUGCAAGUUCAAAGUCAGCCUCAGCAAAAGCAAGGUGCUAAGCUACUCAGUGAGACCCUGACUCUAAAUAAAAUACAAAAUAAAGCUGGAGAUGUGACACA